Non-coding RNA from Sus scrofa (pig), 1326 nucleotides. The record is from RefSeq and is a predicted model, not a curated record. NCBI's taxonomy places the organism in Eukaryota, Metazoa, Chordata, Mammalia, Artiodactyla, Suidae.
CUGAGCAGAGUUGGUGAAAGCAGGUCUCAGGAUACGAAAUAGGAACCUCUAAGGUUCGUGGCAGAGAGCUGGGGCCAGAACCAAAACCCAGGCAAGAGGUUGAGGACUGGAAGGGACAUCCGUUACCUUUGGCUGCUGGACUGAUGAUUCCUUGAACGCUGGAGACUGAGAUGCAGGGCUUGUGUCCUUCUAAGAGGAAGAAACACCAGAGUGCUCCCCGCAUCAUGUGAGGACUCAGCAAGAAGGCCACCAUCUGCAAGCCCAGGAACUAAAUAGGCAGCCCCUUGACCUUGGACUUCGCAGCCUCCAGAACUGUGAGAAAAUUAAUUCUAUUUUUUAAGCCAAGCUGUCAGUGGUAUAUUGUUACGGCAGCCUGAGUAAACUAAUACAGAGCCCUUCAUUCACUUAUCCUCUGCUUACUGAGCAUCUUUUAUGAGACAGUAAGAGCCUAGUCUUAGCAUUGACAGAUCUGGGUUAAAUCCUGUAGGGAAUGAAAAAAACUUUUUCUCUACACUCUUAGGGCCUGUAACUAAAAUCCUGGGAAUCAAACUGACAAAACACAACUUAACAGGAGAAAAACAGAUUUUAUGAAAGCAUGCAGCAUGCAUAUACAUGGGAGAACCUCAGUGAUGAGUAACUCAAAGAAAUGGUUGGAACUUGGGGCUUAUAUGGCAUCUUAACAAAGAAGAGUGAAUUUGCAGAGAAAAAUUACGGCAAAAAAAAAGGAGUGAAGACUUUCGAGGUGGCAAACAGUGGGAAGGAAAAUAUAUCAGAGGAAACUAAUAGAAAACCAGGGUUAUUUAGUAAGGUUUGUUGUGUAGGGGCCUCUCAGAUGCCAUCUCUGACCUGAUAAGAGUCCAGAGUUGUCUCUGGUGAUUAUGAGUCCAAGAAUUGUCCUUCUCUUUCCAACUUGGAAGAAAGAAACACCUUUACAAAUGAAAAUUUGUAUCCUGCUUUUAAGAGAUCCUUGGUGGCCUAGCGAUACAAGAUUCGGUAUCAUUGCUGCGGCACAGGUUUGAUUCCUGGCCGGGCCAAAAAAAAAAAUGAGAAAAAUAUAUCUUGUUUUUAGCAAGACUGGGGAAGAGCAGAUACUUUUUUUCCUGCAUCUGUUGUUUUGUAAUUGCCUUCAGCUCAAAAUGCUCCUUACGCCAAGGCGGCAUAUUUUGGAGCAGCAUGUUCCAGUACCCUUUGUCGUUGACUCCAGCAGCAAGGUGACCUUCAUCAGUUUACCCAGCCUCUCAGCCUCAGAGAGGCUUCUAAAAUGGGUUCAAUAAGAGCAUUUUCAGAGUUCCCGUCAUGGCUCAGUAGUUAAUGAUCCUACUAGGA